AAAUUUUUUAUGGUUUAAUAAUUUUAUUAUAAAUUUAUUUUACAUAUAAAUUUUAGUGUUAAUUUUUAAUUAUUUUAAUAAUAAUUAAUUAAAGUUGUAGUAAUUAAUAUUAAAAAUUUAAGAAAUUAAGAUUUAGUAAUAUUUUAAAUUAAUAACAAAUUUUGUGCCAGCAGUUGCGGUUAAACAAAAAUUAAAUUAAAUUUUAUUAGUAAUUAAUAAAUAAUAUAAAAUUAUAAUUAAUUAAAUUUUAAAUUAUUAAGUGAAAUUUUAAUUUAAUUAAAAUUAAUUUGAAUUUUAUAAUUUAAUAAAUUUUAUUAAUAAACUAGGAUUAGAUACCCUAUUAUUAAAAACUUAAAUUAAUAAUACUUAAAUAGUAUAUAAUUAUUUAUUGAAACUUAAAUAAUUUGGCGGUAUUUUAGUUCAUUUAGAGGAAUCUGUUUAAUAAUUGAUAAUCCACGAAUAAAUUUACUUAAUUUAAUAUUUUGUAUAUCGUUGUUAUAAAAAUAUUUUAAAAUAAUAAAUAAUAUUUAAAAAUUUAAAAAAAAAAUUAAAUCAGAUCAAGAUGCAGAUUAUAAUUAAGAAUAUAAUGGAUUACAAUAAAUUUAUUUAUUAACUGAUAUUAUUUUGUAAUAAAUAAUUAAAGGUGGAUUUAAAUGUAAUUUUAUUUAAUUUAUUAAAAUGAUUAAAAAUUAAAGUAUGUACAUAUUGCCCGUCGCUUUCAUAAAUAAAUUGGAAUAAGUCGUAACAAAGUAGAGGUACUGGAAAGUGUUUCUAGAAAUAU
This 781-nucleotide ribosomal RNA is filed under the name Pygospila tyres. Its description in RNAcentral is "12S ribosomal RNA". Lineage: Eukaryota; Metazoa; Arthropoda; Insecta; Lepidoptera; Crambidae. The record is from RNAcentral.